Molecule: transfer RNA, 66 nt
Filed under: uncultured Nitzschia
Lineage: Eukaryota; Bacillariophyta; Bacillariophyceae; Bacillariales; Bacillariaceae
Rfam family: tRNA (bases 5-61)
About the family: Transfer RNA (tRNA) molecules are approximately 80 nucleotides in length. Their secondary structure includes four short double-helical elements and three loops (D, anti-codon, and T loops).
Source: RNAcentral
AGCAUAGUUUAGUGGUUAGAGCGCUGGUUUUCUACAGCAGGGUCGUUGGUUCGAUUCCAACCGUUG